This is a non-coding RNA of Odocoileus virginianus texanus, 5921 nucleotides long. The record is from RefSeq and is a predicted model, not a curated record. NCBI's taxonomy places the organism in Eukaryota, Metazoa, Chordata, Mammalia, Artiodactyla, Cervidae.
GGUGUGGCCCAGUGUAGGUGCGUAUUAUGCGCUGCAGACCGUUGUGUGUGACAAAGCCCAUUGUGUGUUGGUGUGUGUGUGUGUCUUAAUCCACGUGGACGCACGCCUCUUCCUUGCUCUGCCCUAAGACACACCCCCGCCCCUCCUUAGUCUGAGAAGGGGGGCUGGGGAGCCUCCCCUCUGCCCGGGGGCCUCCUCAGCACCUCCCCGCCCUGCCCAACAGUCACCACCUCCCAGAGGGCACAGACUCUGCUGUACCUCAAAGCACAAGCCCAGAGCAGGAGCAGAGCAGGCCGGGGACCUCAAGCCACUGUGGCUGCCCUUUGUGUGCUGCGAGGUGGGGGACCCUGGGCAGGAAGCUGGCUGGGCCCCAAGACCCAGGGAGCCAUGGGCGGGGAGCUGGUGCCGGGCCUGGGGGCCCUGCGGCGGCGAAAGCGCCUGCUGGAGCAGGAGAAGAGUCUGGCCAGCUGGACGCUGGCACUGGCAGGAACUGGCAUUGGACUCAUGGUCCUGCACGCGGAGAUGCUGUGGUUCGGGGGGUGCCCGUGGGCGCUCUAUCUGUUCCUGGUUAAAUGCAUGAUCAGCAUUUCCACGUUCCUGCUCCUGUCUCUCAUCGUGGCCUUUCACGCCAAAGAGGUCCAGCUGUUCAUGACGGACAACGGGCUCCGGGACUGGCGCGUGGCGCUGACCGGGCGGCAGGUGGCGCAGAUCGUGCUGGAGCUGGUGGUGUGCGGGUUGCACCCGCCGCCGGUGCCGGGCCCGCCGUGCGUGCUGAGCUCGGGGUUCCCGAAGACCACGGCCACGCAGUCCUGGCCCAGCUUCCUGGACCAGGGGGAGGCGCUGCUGUCGCUGGCCAUGCUGCUGCGCCUGUACCUGGUGCCCCGCGCCCUGCUCCUGCGCAGCGGCGUCCUGCUCAACGCCUCCUACCGCAGCAUCGGCGCGCUCAACCAGGUCCGCUUCCGCCACUGGUUCGUGGCCAAGCUGUACAUGAACACGCACCCCGGCCGCCUGCUGCUCUGCCUCACGCUUGGCCUCUGGCUCACCACCGCCUGGGUGCUGUCGGUAGCCGAGAGGCAGGCUGUUAAUGCCACCGGGCACCUUUCGGACACACUGUGGCUGAUCCCCAUCACAUUCCUGACCAUUGGCUAUGGCGAUGUGGUGCCAGGUACCAUGUGGGGCAAGAUUGUCUGCCUCUGCACUGGUGUCAUGGGGGUCUGCUGCACAGCCCUGCUGGUGGCCGUGGUGGCCCGGAAACUGGAGUUUAAUAAGGCAGAAAAGCAUGUGCACAACUUCAUGAUGGAUAUUCAGUAUGCCAAAGAGAUGAGGGAGUCGGCUGCUCGGGUGCUGCAGGAGUCCUGGCUGUUGUACAAACAUACGCGCAGGAAGGAGUCUGGAGCUGCCCGCAAGCACCAGCGCAGGCUGCUGGCUGCCAUCAACAGGUUCCGCCAGGUGCGGCUGAAACACAGAAAGCUCCGGGAGCAAGUGAACUCCAUGGUGGACAUCUCCAAGAUGCACAUGAUCCUGUGUGACCUGCAGCUCCGACUGAGCAGCUCCCACCAGGCCCUGGAGAAGCAGAUUGAUGCGCUAGCAGGGAAGCUGGACACCCUGACCGAGCUGCUCAGUGUUGCCCUGGGGCCGCGGCAGCUUCCAGAACCAAGCCAGGAGGCCACGUAGCUGGACCCAUCCGGGAAGAACCAGGCUACUCUUCCCCAGGAUUGAGGUCAAGGACAUUCUCUCUGCUACUCCUGACCCAGCCACACAUAUAACCACCCCCCCUCCGCCCAAGUGUGAGGACUGCUGGGGGCCCCACCUUGGAUGGUGGAUGCUGAUGGAUGCUGGAGGGGAUGCUGGAUUAAGGAGGGAGGCCGUGGCCCACCCCCCACCAAGGCCCCAAAUGGGAAAACGGUCACCCCUGCCGCACAUACUCUCGACAAAAACAUCCUCACUCUGCUGCUGUAGAUGGCCACCAGCUUUCAUUUGGACGUGGAGGUGUUUGGGGGCCGGGACUCCUGGGUCCCAGAGGAGGAGGAAGAGGAUCAGGAGAAGGGGCACGGGGGCCCAGAGUCCAGGAUCCUGGGCUGCCUCAGUGACCCGCUGGCCGGCAGAGCUGAAGGAACCAGGCCCGAGGCAGGGACGAGGCAGGAGGCAGCGCCCCCUGGCGGGAGAACGAGGAGGACACUGUUUCUCCAGAGCUGCAGAGAAUUACCUGGUGGGAGAAGGCGGAUUCUCUACCAUCUGAGCCGCCGAGGAAGCCCGUCUGAACCAGCUUCUGCAACUAUAUGAGAGGCCUCCGAGGAGUAUCCUCCAAGCCCACCAGAACCCAGAUGACACCUCAUCCAUCAGGAGAGUAACAGGAACCCCAAACCAUCCCCUGUACUCAUUUCUCGUAUCUGCUAGGACUUGGCCGGGAAAUGGGAAGGGGGCUGGGCUUAUGGAGGUCCUCCCGUAUGCCCGGCUCUGCGCUCCUGCGUUGUAAGUCACCACCACCUCUGCCCACCCCACCCCACCCCACUGUACAAAUACAGAGACUGAAGUUUCGAGACGAGGAAGGCCUCAAGGGUCUGGCUUCACACCCAGCGCAUCCUGAGACCGAGCCUUCCCUCUCAGUCUGGCUUGAGUAUUGAGAAGUUUCCACAACAGAGACUAAGACAGAAGGGAAGGGAACAGGACCCAAGCUUUGAAAGAAUGACGCAGAUACGACUGAAACUAGGCCCACCAGGCCCAAGGUGACAGAAGAUACGACUUCCCUAGACUCCAAGCCUCAUUUUUUUUUUCUUUUUUUCCCCAUCCCGAUUCUAAGCCUCAUUAUACACUCAUUGUAAUAUAACAGCAUAUGCUAAGUGAUACACCACACAUGCCAUGACAGUUCUGAAGCUGACCAUAGAAGGCCAAAAAGUGGGUGGUGGCCCAAUUCCUGGAAAUUCUCGCUGCUACCCCAUUAAGGUUGGAAUAAUACUCCCAGUUGUUAGCUUAUGAAAUUAUCCCGCCCAUAAAAACUAACCACCCCCACACCCACUGGCCACUCUUGCUUUCUGAGAUGGUCGCCUUUCUGCCUACGGAAUGUGUCUCCCUCUAAAUAAACUUACUUUCACUUUAUACUAUGGCUCACUCUUGAAUUCUUUUCUGUGUGAAGCCAAGGACCCUCACUUGGUCUCCCCUCACAGGGACUCAUCUGAGGCCUGUGACAUGGCCAUUCUCUUCCAGACAAGUCUCCUGCAACAAGACUGGGGGAUAAGACAGCCAUGUUUUCUUCCCCAUGAACCCACGUCUACCUCCAGCUACUGCUCUGUCAUUUCUGCUCCCCAGUGGAUCACCAGCUUUUAGGAACUCCUCUUUCCCUUGGCCCUAGGUUAUCACCUCUCCCGAUGUUCCUGCUCCUUCUCUGGGACAGUGGUCCUUUCUCUGAUUCCUAGUGUGGGAGGCCCAGGGCCCAGUCUCUGCUCAAUCUACUCCCUCAGUCUGGAUGGUUUCAACAAAUCCCCAGGCUUUAAAUGCCAUCUAUGUAUUAACAGCUCCAAAAUUUAGCAUGCUUGUAUAGUUAUUGAUAAAAUGACAGGACAUCUGAGAGUCUGCUUAAAAGCUUAAAAAAUAAAACAGAAACUCCAGGAGAAAGUGUACUUAUAAAAUUAGAAAGCAGAAAACAGAAGAAAUAAAGAUAAGUAAAAUGGGAUGACUGGCCAUACUGGAUGGUGGGUUUAGAGGAGUUCUUCAUACCAGAAAAACUUUUGUGUGUGUUUUUAAAACUCCACAAUGAAAAGUCAGUAAAAAAUUCUGUAUUUCCAAAUGCUGGCUUCUCUCUACUGUGACCACUUACUUGGACCAACAUGCACCUCAAAGGUAAGCAGCUCAAAGCUUUUCAAUUUCCCAUCAAGUCUGCUUGUUCCCAUCUUCAAAAAGCAUCACUCUCCACCCAGUGGGUCAGGCCCAAACCUUCAGGAUGACUUUUAACUCAUCCCUGAUUCAUGCUUCCUCUCACACAACCCUCCUCCUGAGUCAUCAUCCUCUCUCGCCCAGGGAAGGGACAGUGGCUUCCUCAUCUCCUGCUACCACUGCUGCCCAGCUGCAGCCCACUCUUCUCACAGCAACCAGCACUGCUUUAACUUUUUUGCAUGUACGUAACAGUCUCACAGUUCAGAAAUGUAAAAGUCUUAAGAAAACAUAUAUCACAACAUGCUGGUCCUUGCUUACAGCCCUCCAAAGGCUUCCUGUUUCACUUAGAAGUAAAUUCAAGAGCCUUUACCUAUGGCCUACAAGGCCUCAUGUAACUUGGCCCUCUCUACAGCUGUAUCCCUAAAUAAUCCUAUCCCUAUUUCACUAUGCUUCAGCCACUCUGGUCAACUUGAUAAUCCUUGAACAACCAGGUCCGUUCUCACUUUGGAAUCUUUAAUCUGUUUUUCAGCAUCUUCCUGUGGUUCAUCCCCUUACCAUCUUUCAGGCCUCUGCUCAAAUGUCACCUUCUCAGAGGAGCCUUCCUUGACCACCUGUCACUCUCUGUGACCUCUGUCACUCUCGAUUCCCUUAUCCUGAUUUUUCCUUCCAAGUAUCUUUUACCUGACAUCAUCCACCCCACCAAAAGAUCUGUUCCAGGAGGGCAGGUGCUCUGUCCUAUCACUAAAGCAGUGGUCCCCAACCUUUUUGGCACCAGAGACCAGUUUCGUGGAAGACAGUUUUUCCACAGACAAGGUGGGGUGGUUUGGGAAUGAUUCAAGCAUGUUACAUUCAUUGCGCACUUGAUUUCUAUUAUUAUUACAUGAACUCCAGCUCAGAUCAUCAGGCAUUAGAUCCCAGAGGUUGGGGACCCCUGCACUACAGGAUUUCCACUCUACACCAUGUCUGGCAGAUGACUAGAGUUCUAUAAUUCAUUCAAUAGAUAUAAACAAAUGAAUGAAACCAACAGAGAAGUGCCUUGAGAAAUGAACAGAUCAUUUGGCAAAGGGCUCUUAAAAUUCCCAGUGCAUGUACUCUUUGACCCAGCAAUUCUACUUCAGAUGAGGUACUCUAUUGAUAAUACUAUCACCUACAUGCAAUCUGAUGUACAACAAUAUUCAUUGUGAUGAAUGUUGGUAAUAGCAAAAGUUCAGAAAGAACCUGAAUGCUUAUCAAUGGGCAAAUGGUUAAAUCCUGCACAUGCACACAACUGCAUACCAUCCUACUAAUACCAAAGGCAGCUCUCUGGGUGCUCAAUUGUGACUCAUAAUUAGGCAGGCUGCCCAUUGCCUGCAAAAAAAUGUGGGCUCACCCUAGAAUGAGACAGGCUGCGGUUUGAAUCCAGGGAUGCCUCCUGGCUACAGGAGCUUCAGUAAGGCCCUUCUUUUCAGACUCAUAUUCUGCAUCUGUUAAACGAGGAAGGGAGGUGGUUACAGUGAUGAAUAUAAACCAGAAUGUAGUAUACAGUGGGCCCACAGUACAAUGCCAAGCCUCUCCUUUUCCUUUAACUCAAAUUUCCACCUCUAAGGGUUUCCCAGAGGUGAAACUGGCAUGGAGGCUCCUCUGGGGUUGAGAAAUUCAGGUAAUAAAAACAGAUGCAACCUAACAGAUGAAGAUGCUAAAAAGGGAUACUGACAGACAUAACACAGAGGUGUCCUGUCAAGUGUAUCUCUGCCAAACACCCACAGUCUUCUGGAGAAUCCAUAAACAACAGGACUCUCAACUCAGUCUGUGUGAUGGUUGUUUUCACCCAGACUGUAACAGCCUGGAGAAAUAAUUCCACCUGCCACCUGUGCUGAGAAUAUGGCAGCAGGGAUGAGGCCUGGAGGGGAGGGGAGCAGUUCAGACUCAGUCACUAUCACUGUCAUUGUAAACCACAAAAUAAUAACACAGGGCCACUCUACAUGAGUGCUCAGCCCCUCAGGUGUGUCUCACUCUUUGGAACACCAUGCAAUGUAGCCUGUCAGUCUCUUUCGUCCAUAGGAUUUUCCCCA